Halichondria panicea is the source of this 1349-nucleotide long non-coding RNA. RefSeq lists it as uncharacterized. The transcript has 4 exons. NCBI's taxonomy places the organism in Eukaryota, Metazoa, Porifera, Demospongiae, Suberitida, Halichondriidae. The record is from RefSeq and is a predicted model, not a curated record.
GAAUCAGCAAACCACGUGGUCACCCAGCACCCCAUGGAACAUGGAGCAAUUGGCUAACUAUUGUCUCAGUGUUAGGUGGAGGCUUUGUCCAGUACUAUAAUUUGUAGACCACAGUGACAUAGCCCGGACCAUGGAGAGAGACCAUUGCUGAGGAGGUACGUGGGAAGGGCAAGUUCCUGGCCAAUCAGAUGAUCCUACAUGACGAAGCUGCUCGUAAAGAUGCAAGUCUGAUGACAAACUCAGGAUGAUGAGGCCAUGUUCAAACUGAACCCCAAUGCAAAGACGUCAAGUUCAAGCUGAAUGCCCAAGAGUUCAAACCUCCGAGAGCAAGCUUCUCUCCAGUGGUCACUGCCUCCUCCACACUUCUCCGAGACAAGGCGACUGUCGAGUCCUCAGCCUCUGUCCUACAAGAGCAAAAUAAUUUCGUUUCUGCUUGUUUCACCAAACUGGAGGUAAAAGUUUACGUAAGGACUUUGAGAAGGAGCGGGAAAAUGAGUACAAAGAGAAGUACCUCUCGCUAUUAGAGCAUACUAGGAUGAGUGCUGACUCGGCUCUGUUUAAGUCCAAGAGCAAGAAAUCAAAGUGGCUCGACUAGUGAGUUGUGUCACGUCAGUUAGUGUGUAGAGUUGUAGUGAUCGAUACACCUGUACAUACGUUUUCUUGCAAGUGCCUACUUAAUCUUGUCACUCUAUAGGGGUUCUAUAAAUUAUAGAGUACAGUAGUAGUUUUACUGUUUCACUGGAAGUAUAAUUAUGUAGUGCAAUAAAGUACGUGUCUAUGAUUCUACUAAAACUCUUUUCUUAAAAGUUUCAGCCUAUAGUCUAGUUUUAUUUUAUUACUCCCGUUACUUGCUUAGCCAGAUUAUACAUACUAUUGUACACUGCUUACUAUUGUAUAACACUUUGAGUAUUACUUUGAUUAUUGUGUGGGUAGGCACUUCAGCAUGUAAGUACGUACAUAUUGUAUACCAAUACAAGUGUUGUGUGUGGUGUCCCUUUUAUCAUAGUUGAGCCAUUUUGCAUUUCAGCCAGUGUAAAUUAUAGCUACUGUUGUCAUGUGAUUUUCUCACCCCUUACUUCCUAAGCUAUGACCAUGUGACUCUUUAACCCCUCAGUUUCCGAGCCCCACCCCUCACUGUCUGACUCGGAAGAGGAGAUAGACUUUGUAUUCUGGGAGAAGGCGUCCACCCUACCCUCGGACAAGACCCCAACCAAGGACCUGAACUUGUUAUGAGACUGUUAAAUAUUAUUUUGUCUGUUUUUGUACUAUUUUCUGGCAAUGUAAUUAUGUAUGUACCACUUCAUGUCAUCAUAAUAACUAUAAUUAUAUGCGAUAAAAUUCUGUUGCAA